UCGAGGUGCGGCUUCCGUUCCUCUUCGUCGCUCGUCGCUGAACCCCGACUAGCUGGCGGAGUCGGGAGCACACGGGUUCUGCGGAGGCGCGAGGACAUGGCCAACUCCUCCUCCGCAUCCUCACCCUUCGGAUUCGCCGCCGCCGCCGUCGCCCCCUUCCCCGACCAAGUCCUCCCUCGUGCCCAGGGCAUCAUCAGGUCAGAUUGUGUCUCUGUCGACUUGCACAAAAGGUCAGCCCCAUCAGCUUUGCGGUUGGUGUCCUGGUGGGCUUCACGCUGACGUUGCCAGUGGACUGCUAGGUUGCUCAAGAGAAACAAGGAUGAUAACUAGCUAGCUAAUGCAAUCUCUUAAGUAUUUUUCACAAGCGUGCUGUACUCUCUAGCCCCAAGUCGAACCUCCUUGAUUGCUUUGUACUCCUUUCGUUUCUAUAUAGGCCUUUUUAGAGAUUUUAAUACGGACUACAUACGGAUGUAUAUAGAUAUAUUUUAGAGUGUGGAUUCACUCAAUUUGCUCCGUAUGACUAUGUAGUCCGUGUUGGAAUCUUUAAAAGGACUUAUAUUUAGAAAUAGAGAGAGUAUUAACUGUGACCAAUUAAAGCCAUCGGUUUGUAAACUCUAUGGCAGAUCUCUUUUAGGUGAUCUGUACUGGUAAUUGUGAUAUGUGCCGAUUCUGCCGUACA
Long non-coding RNA from Triticum dicoccoides, 679 nucleotides. RefSeq lists it as uncharacterized. NCBI's taxonomy places the organism in Eukaryota, Viridiplantae, Streptophyta, Magnoliopsida, Poales, Poaceae. The record is from RefSeq and is a predicted model, not a curated record. The transcript is spliced from 2 exons.